AUUGAACGCUGGCGGCAUGCUUUACACAUGCAAGUCGAACGGCAGCGCGGGCUUCGGCCUGGCGGCGAGUGGCGAACGGGUGAGUAAUACAUCGGAACGUGCCCAGUAGUGGGGGAUAGCUCGGCGAAAGCCGGAUUAAUACCGCAUACGACCUGAGGGUGAAAGCGGGGGAUCUUCGGACCUCGCGCUCUUGGAGCGGCCGAUGGCAGAUUAGCUAGUUGGUGGGGUAAAGGCCUACCAAGGCGACGAUCUGUAGCUGGUCUGAGAGGACGACCAGCCACACUGGGACUGAGACACGGCCCAGACUCCUACGGGAGGCAGCAGUGGGGAAUGUUGGACAAUGGGCGAAAGCCUGAUCCAGCAAUGCGGCGUGUGUGAUGAAGGCCUUCGGGUUGUAAAGCACUUUUGGCGGGAACGAAAAGGACUGUGCCAAUACCACGGUUCGAUGACGGUACCGGCAGAAUAAGCACCGGCUAACUACGUG
Molecule: ribosomal RNA, 484 nt
Filed under: uncultured bacterium
Lineage: Bacteria
Description: partial 16S ribosomal RNA
Rfam family: Bacterial small subunit ribosomal RNA
Source: RNAcentral